GAGUUUGAUCGUGGCUCAGGACGAACGCUGGCGGCGUGCCUAACACAUGCAAGUCGAGCGAUGAAGUUUCUUCGGGAACGGAUUAGCGGCGGACGGGUGAGUAACACGUGGGCAACCUGCCUUAUAGAGGGGAAUGGCCUUCCGAAAGGAAGAUUAAUACCGCAUAAGAUUGUAGCUUCGCAUGAAGUAGCAAUUAAAGGAGCAAUCCGCUAUAAGAUGGGCCCGCGGCGCAUUAGCUAGUUGGUGAGGUAACGGCUCACCAAGGCGACGAUGCGUAGCCGACCUGAGAGGGUGAUCGGCCACAUUGGGACUGAGACACGGCCCAGACUCCUACGGGAGGCAGCAGUGGGGAAUAUUGCACAAUGGGGGAAACCCUGAUGCAGCAACACCGCGUGAGUGAUGACGG
Molecule: ribosomal RNA, 406 nt
Filed under: uncultured bacterium
Lineage: Bacteria
Description: bacterial SSU rRNA
Rfam family: Bacterial small subunit ribosomal RNA
Source: RNAcentral